UGGGGAAUAUUGGACAAUGGGCGAAAGCCUGAUCCAGCCAUGCCGCGUGUGUGAAGAAGGCCUUUUGGUUGUAAAGCACUUUAAGCGAGGAGGAGGCUACUGGUAUUAAUACUACCGGAUAGUGGACGUUACUCGCAGAAUAAGCACCGGCUAACUCUGUGCCAGCAGCCGCGGUAAUACAGAGGGUGCGAGCGUUAAUCGGAUUUACUGGGCGUAAAGCGUGCGUAGGCGGCUUCUUAAGUCGGAUGUGAAAUCCCUGAGCUUAACUUAGGAAUUGCAUUCGAUACUGGGAAGCUAGAGUAUGGGAGAGGAUGGUAGAAUUCCAGGUGUAGCGGUGAAAUGCGUAGAGAUCUGGAGGAAUACCGAUGGCGAAGGCAGCCAUCUGGCCUAAUACUGACGCUGAGGUACGAAAGCAUGGGGAGCAAACAGG
Molecule: ribosomal RNA, 430 nt
Filed under: uncultured Acinetobacter sp.
Lineage: Bacteria; Pseudomonadati; Pseudomonadota; Gammaproteobacteria; Moraxellales; Moraxellaceae
Description: bacterial SSU rRNA
Rfam family: Bacterial small subunit ribosomal RNA
Source: RNAcentral